This 526-nucleotide ribosomal RNA is filed under the name uncultured bacterium. RNAcentral describes it as "partial 16S ribosomal RNA". It matches the Rfam family "Bacterial small subunit ribosomal RNA", at positions 355 to 870 of the family's 1533-position model. The record is from RNAcentral.
UGGGGAAUUUUGGACAAUGGGCGAAAGCCUGAUCCAGCAAUGCCGCGUGUGUGAAGAAGGCCUUCGGGUUGUAAAGCACUUUUGUCCGGAAAGAAAUCCUUGGCUCUAAUACAGUCGGGGGAUGACGGUACCGGAAGAAUAAGCACCGGCUAACUACGUGCCAGCAGCCGCGGUAAUACGUAGGGUGCAAGCGUUAAUCGGAAUUACUGGGCGUAAAGCGUGCGCAGGCGGUUUGCUAAGACCGAUGUGAAAUCCCCGGGCUCAACCUGGGAACUGCAUUGGUGACUGGCAGGCUAGAGUAUGGCAGGAGGGGGGUAGAAUUCCACGUGUAGCAAGUGAAAUGCGUAGAGAUGUGGAGGAAUACCGAUGGCGAAGGCAGCCCCCUGGGCCAAUACUGACGCUCAUGCACGAAAGCGUGGGGAGCAAAACAGGAUUAGAUACCCUGGUAGUCCACGCCCUAAAACGAUGUCAACUAGUUGUUGGGGAUUCAUUUCCUUAGUAACGUAGCUAACGCGUGAAGUUGACC